This 465-nucleotide ribosomal RNA is filed under the name uncultured bacterium. RNAcentral's name for it is "partial 16S ribosomal RNA". It matches the Rfam family "Bacterial small subunit ribosomal RNA", at positions 28 to 507 of the family's 1533-position model. The record is from RNAcentral.
GACGAACGCUGGCGGCGUGCUUAACACAUGCAAGUCGAACGGAAAGGCCCUGCCUGCAGGGUACUCGAGUGGCGAACGGGUGAGUAACACGUGGGUGAUCUGCCCUGCACUUCGGGAUAAGCCUGGGAAACUGGGUCUAAUACCGGAUAGGAGCCAUUUUUAGUGUGAUGGUUGGAAAGUUUUUUCGGUGUAGGAUGAGCUCGCGGCCUAUCAGCUUGUUGGUGGGGUAAUGGCCUACCAAGGCGGCGACGGGUAGCCGGCCUGAGAGGGUGGACGGCCACAUUGGGACUGAGAUACGGCCCAGACUCCUACGGGAGGCAGCAGUGGGGAAUAUUGCACAAUGGGCGCAAGCCUGAUGCAGCGACGCCGCGUGGGGGAUGACGGCCUUCGGGUUGUAAACUCCUUUCGCUAGGGACGAAGCUUUUUGUGACGGUACCUAGAUAAGAAGCACCGGCUAACCACGUG